GUAUGCUGUCUCUUAAGUCUGAUGUGAAAGCCCCCGGAUCAACCGGGAACGGUCAUUGGAAACUGGGAGACUUGAGUGCAGAAAAGGAGAGUGGAAUUCCAUGUGUAGACACAGAAAUGCGCAGAGAUAUGGAGGAACACCAGUGGCGAAGGCGGCUCUCUGGUCUGUAACUGACGCUGAGGUGCGAAAGCGUGGGGAUCAAACAGGAUUAGAAACCCGAGUAGUCCCGCCGUUACGAUGAGUGCUAAGUGUUGGGGGGUUACCGC
This 266-nucleotide ribosomal RNA is filed under the name Macrococcoides caseolyticum. Its description in RNAcentral is "Macrococcus caseolyticus partial 16S ribosomal RNA". It matches the Rfam family "Bacterial small subunit ribosomal RNA", at positions 571 to 837 of the family's 1533-position model. The record is from RNAcentral. Lineage: Bacteria; Bacillati; Bacillota; Bacilli; Caryophanales; Staphylococcaceae.